Molecule: unclassified non-coding RNA, 225 nt
Filed under: uncultured Gemmatimonadota bacterium
Lineage: Bacteria; Pseudomonadati; Gemmatimonadota
Description: uncultured Gemmatimonadetes bacterium contains 16S-23S intergenic spacer region
Source: RNAcentral
UCCGGUUUAUCACCGGCAGUCCCCGUAGAGUCCCCGCCAUUACGCGCUGGCAACUACGGGCAAGGGUUGCGCUCGUUGCGGGACUUAACCCAACAUCUCACGACACGAGCUGACGACAGCCAUGCAGCACCUGUGCACGUGUCCCGAAGGAGGGCCCCUGUUUCCAGGGGCUUUCACGUGCAUGUCAAGCCCAGGUAAGGUGGGGAUGACGUGUGCGUAACAGAA